This is a long non-coding RNA of Gallus gallus (chicken), 3009 nucleotides long. The record is from Ensembl. NCBI's taxonomy places the organism in Eukaryota, Metazoa, Chordata, Aves, Galliformes, Phasianidae.
AGAGCAGAGCAGAGCAGAGCAGAGAAGAGAAGAGAAGAGAAGAGAAGAGAAGAGAAGAGAAGAGAAGAGAAGAGAAGAGAAGAGAAGAGAAGAGAAGAGAAGAGAAGAGAAGAGAAGAGAAGAGAACUCACUGGUGAUAUUGAGAUCUUCUAUCCUUCAAAGGGAUGAGACUACAUCCUCUGGCAAAUCCUGCAUGAUAUUCUAGCUGCCAGAAGAUCAGGUUUGCAACAGCUCCUCUUCAGUUCUGUAAGUUAAGCAGAUAAUAAAAGUGUUUUGUUGCAUCUUUGGUGGGGAGAGAAGUAAGAGCUGGUUGGGCAGAUAUGGAGAGAAACAAGAGCCUAAUGCUGCCUGUUACAUUUAUUGCAAUAAGCAAGAGAAGGAAGUGAGUUUGUCCAGAUGAAGGGAAUGAGAACACUGAUAUCCAUGCUACUCUGGGGGUAUGCUGGGAGAGAUCUGCUAGAACCAAGUACUGGAAGCCAAUAUCCAUCCUUCACUGAUUUCAACACUGUUUGAACUGCAUUGGCCUUUUUGGCCACAAACUAUUUUUAGAAACAAAGUCUACAUUUUCCCCUGUGCUUCAUUGUUUGUAAAACAACCUUGGAAACUCGAUUAAAAAAACAACAAACAAACAAACAAACAAACAAACAAAAAACAAAAAAAGCAGCCUUACCAUAUUUUUUCUCAUCCAUUUGACAAAUUUUGCUUUUCUGCCUUGUUGUUUCCCACAGAGCUGCAGCCAGCAUGGCUUUCCAACUUGUGGAUUUCCUUCUGCCACAGUUUUUAACGUGGUCCAUAAAUAUAAGCCCUGCUCUGGAGAUUUGGCACAACUGAUCAUGCUCUCUCUACUGCCUUCCUGUCUUGCUGCAAGAGCAAAGUAAACUCAAGGCUGAAUGAGGAUCCACAUCCUGCAGUUGGUCUUUGCUUGUUGUAGCUGCACUGAAAAUGGUUUUAAAUACUGCAUGCUGUUCUCUUACAUUUUUACCAGUUCUGAGUGUCCAUUGCUUGAUAAGCCUUUGUGGUCUCCUUGGGGGUUGACAGAAAUAACUUUUGACAGAGGAUCAAUGUGAACAGAUGAGAACUUGUGCUGAUCAGAAGGUGCACAGGUGCCUACCCAGAGGGAUGAUCACACAGAGGUCUCUAUCAGAUGGAUAUCACAGACUGCAAUUAUGUGGGAGGGAGGACAUUGAAAGUCCUGCCUCAUCUUGCUACACGUUGUUAAGGUUUUUGGUUUUCAUUGCAUUUUCAUUUCUAGGGAGAACAUAGUUGAAGCAGUGUUGCUUUUGCCUGAUGGUGGACCAUGUACUGAAAGACAAAGAUCAUGUGUCUGUGACAUUGAAACUAGAUGAUCAUUAUUGUCCUUUUCAACUCAGGCCAUUCUAUGAUUCUGUGACAUCCUAAAAACAUGAUAUUCUGUGACUCUAGAAGUCCCAACUCCUCAUUUUCUGUUGAUGCCACCUGCAAGGACAUGCUAGAAAUGAGGAGAAGUGGUGAGCCCAUGGAAAUCUCUGAUGUUCACAUGUGAAGUAUCUCUUCACCAGACUACAGGGGACUGAGGAAGACAAGGUGGAAGACAGCAAAAUUCACGCAUGUGUUGCUCAAGUUUUGGGGUAUGUCAACUAUCUGGAGCCAUUUAGAUGACAGUGGGAGGGAUUUUGGAUACUGCCAUCUCUGUUCUACUGCCGGGAAUCCUGCUGCCCAGGUGGAGGAGCUGAGGUUUGAUAUUUCCUUAAGUACAAUAGCUAAACAAAUGGUAAGGUGAAGAGAGGCUGUUGUUUCACCAGCUGAUUUAUCAGGCAUUGUUUUUUUGGCAGCAGAGGGCUGCUUCUGGCUGCUCUGACCAUGACUCAUGGGGAUGGGUUGCAGUUGAUGCACAAGAGGAUUUUGGUACUGUACUUGUUGAGGUCAGGAAACUACUUGGACAAUUUUUAGCCAUUCAGAUCUGGAGAUGAGAGUGUGUUGACACAUGGGGGAUAAAGUAAAAAUUGAGGGAAGCCAUAAGGGCGUUUGCCAGACAUGACUUCUGUGAUUCUCCCAGGACAGGAGCUUGCAAAUGUACUUACCACCUAUCUAAUGCUGGCUUUUGCUCCUCAGUUGCUGCUCACAGCAUGGGAAUGUGCAUGGCCAGUAUUGACCUUCAUCCCAUUUUUUCAUGGAUGUAAUGAGGAAGUCUGUGAGUGUGCACUGUGGCUGCACUGAUAUCUUAUAGCUCAGCAGCAUCUGAGAGUUGCUGGGAUUUCUCAGAGAAGUUAGAAGCAUUGCAUGGAGGAUGCCCCCAGUUUGGGUAAUGGCCAUUCCAGCAGGAACAGUGUAUCUAUAUGAUGAGAUGACACAAUAUUGAUGUGAUAAGAGUUGGAAAAGGGCCAGGGUUGCAGACUGGACACCUUCUAUCCAAAAAUAUACCAGGAAAUGGCUGCUCUUCAGAUCACUUCAGGACAUGGACAGAGUUGUGGUACUUAUAGUUAUUCUGGAAGACGAUAAGAUUUUCAUUGUUUUCUAUGUAUCUUUAAACAGAAAGUUUAGAGGAGUAUGUCAGUCUCGCCUGUUUCUGGAAGACAAAGAGAUAAGAAGGAAUGCCUUGUGCUAAUUAUGGCUGUUUCCCAUCUGUUUCCUUUUGAAAUAAUAGCUUCAUGGAGAAGGCUAUGUAGUAUCAGGGGAGAUUCUCGAGAACAGCUUGGAGCAGACACAUUGUGGACGGGUGUAAAUAUGCCCCACAUGAUGACAGGAAGGUCAGGAGUGCACUGUGCCUCUGCUUUGAAAUGUGCUGAAAUAAAAAAAAAAAGAACAAGUAGUCUUGGAGGAUAUAAAAUAUCCCUGCAGGGGGAAAAUAUGGGGUUGGACCGAGUGACCUCCAGAAGUCCCUUCCAACCUCAACCAUUCAGUGAGUCUGUAGUUUUAUAAGUGUUAGACAGCACUCUGGUGGCGUAUUUUUCCAUCUCACUUGCAUAAAUUCAUGUACCGGAAUUAAUAAAAAAAGCCGUGAAAUAAAUGCACUUAGUCUUUAGAAAUAAA